AGAUAUGAAGUAAAAAAUUACAGUUAGUUUCGACCUAACCUUAGGAAAACAUUAUCCCUAUCUA
This 64-nucleotide transfer RNA is filed under the name Rubiconia intermedia. RNAcentral's name for it is "tRNA-Arg". The record is from RNAcentral. Lineage: Eukaryota; Metazoa; Arthropoda; Insecta; Hemiptera; Pentatomidae.